RNAcentral lists this ribosomal RNA (510 nucleotides) under uncultured bacterium. RNAcentral describes it as "partial 16S ribosomal RNA". It matches the Rfam family "Bacterial small subunit ribosomal RNA", at positions 28 to 507 of the family's 1533-position model. The record is from RNAcentral.
GACGAACGCUGGCGGCGUGCUUAACACAUGCAAGUCGAACGAAGAGCGAUGGAAGCUUGCUUCUAUCAAUCUUAGUGGCGAACGGGUGAGUAACGCGUAAUCAACCUGCCCUUCAGAGGGGGACAACAGUUGGAAACGACUGCUAAUACCGCAUACGAUCUAACCUCGGCAUCGAGGAUAGAUGAAAGGUGGCCUCUACAUGUAAGCUAUCACUGAAGGAGGGGAUUGCGUCUGAUUAGCUAGUUGGAGGGGUAACGGCCCACCAAGGCGAUGAUCAGUAGCCGGUCUGGGAGGUUGGACGGCCACAUUGGGACUGAGACACGGCCCAGACUCCUACGGGAGGCAGCAGUGGGGAAUCUUCCGCAAUGGACGAAAGUCUGACGGAGCAACGCCGCGUGAGUGAUGACGGCCUUCGGGUUGUAAAGCUCUGUUAAUCGGGACGAAAGGCCUUCUUGCGAAUAGUGAGAAGGAUUGACGGUACCGGAAUAGAAAGCCACGGCUAACUACGUG